This 465-nucleotide ribosomal RNA is filed under the name uncultured bacterium. RNAcentral's name for it is "partial 16S ribosomal RNA". It matches the Rfam family "Bacterial small subunit ribosomal RNA", at positions 28 to 507 of the family's 1533-position model. The record is from RNAcentral.
GACGAACGCUGGCGGCGUGCUUAACACAUGCAAGUCGAACGGAAAGGCCCUGCUUGCAGGGUACUCGAGUGGCGAACGGGUGAGUAACACGUGGGUGAUCUGCCCUGCACUUCGGGAUAAGCCUGGGAAACUGGGUCUAAUACCGGAUAUGACCUUCCAUGUAGUGUGGGGGGUGGAAAGAUUUAUCGGUGUGGGAUGAGCCCGCGGCCUAUCAGCUUGUUGGUGGGGUAAUGGCCUACCAAGGCGUCGACGGGUAGCCGGCCUGAGAGGGUGGACGGCCACAUUGGGCCUGAGAUACGGCCCAGACUCCUACGGGAGGCAGCAGUGGGGAAUAUUGCACAAUGGGCGGAAGCCUUAUGCAGCGACGCCGCGUGGGGGAUGACGGCCUUCGGGUUGUAAACCUCUUUCGACAGGGACGAAGCUUCGGUGACGGUACCUGUAUAAGAAGCACCGGCUAACUACGUG